Non-coding RNA from Pseudomonas sp. BRH_c35, 187 nucleotides. Lineage: Bacteria; Pseudomonadati; Pseudomonadota; Gammaproteobacteria; Pseudomonadales; Pseudomonadaceae. The record is from Rfam.
CGGGUUACACUCCUGGAUGUUACCGUUUCAUCCGGUCGAAACCGGACUGGAUUUGGUGUCUGAUUCGGUACGAAUCGGGAGCACCUCUGCGUAGGCUUGCGGUUUAAGGCUUUCGCCGCCUACGGUCUUGGAUAGCCCCCGCCAGGCAGGGACCCCAAUCUUUGCAGGCGCCCUCGAAGGGGCGCCG